GAUGGGCUCGCGUUGGAUUAGAUAGUUGGUGGGGUAACGGCCUACCAAGUCGACGAUCCAUAGCCGGACUGAGAGGUUGAACGGCCACAUUGGGACUGAGACACGGCCCAGACUCCUACGGGAGGCAGCAGUGGGGAAUAUUGCACAAUGGGGGAAACCCUGAUGCAGCAACGCCGCGUGAAGGAAGACGGUUUUCGGAUUGUAAACUUCUGUUCUUAGUGAAGAAUAAUGACGGUAGCUAAGGAGCAAGCCACGGCUAACUACGUGCCAGCAGCCGCGGUAAUACGUAGGUGGCAAGCGUUGUCCGGAAUUACUGGGUGUAAAGGGAGCGCAGGCGGGAGAUCAAGUCAGCUGUGAAAACUACGGGCUUAACUUGUAGACUGCAGUUGAAACUGAUUUUCUUGAGUGAAGUAGAGGUUGGCGGAAUUCCGAGUGUAGCGGUGAAAUGCGUAGAUAUUCGGAGGAACACCGGUGGCGAAGGCGGCCAACUGGGCUUUAACUGACGCUGAGGCUCGAAAGUGUGGGGAGCAAAACAGGAUUAGAUACCCUGGUAGUCCACACUGUAAACGAUGAUUGCUAGGUGUGGGGGGGUCUGACCCCUUCCGUGCCGCAGCUAACGCAAU
RNAcentral lists this ribosomal RNA (623 nucleotides) under uncultured bacterium. Its description in RNAcentral is "bacterial SSU rRNA". It matches the Rfam family "Bacterial small subunit ribosomal RNA", at positions 224 to 861 of the family's 1533-position model. The record is from RNAcentral.